Molecule: ribosomal RNA, 465 nt
Filed under: uncultured bacterium
Lineage: Bacteria
Description: partial 16S ribosomal RNA
Rfam family: Bacterial small subunit ribosomal RNA
Source: RNAcentral
CCUACGGGUGGCAGCAGUAGGGAAUCUUCCACAAUGGGCGAAAGCCUGAUGGAGCAACGCCGCGUGGGUGAAGAAGGUCUUCGGAUCGUAAAACCCUGUUGUUAGAGAAGAAAGUGCGUGAGAGUAACUGUUCACGUUUCGACGGUAUCUAACCAGAAAGCCACGGCUAACUACGUGCCAGCAGCCGCGGUAAUCCGUAGGUGGCAAGCGUUAUCCGGAUUUAUUGGGCGUAAAGGGAACGCAGGCGGUCUUUUAAGUCUGAUGUGAAAGCCUUCGGCUUAACCGGAGUAGUGCAUUGGAAACUGGGAGACGUGAGUGCAGAAGAGGAGAGUGGAACUCAAUGUGUAGCGGUGAAAUGCGUAGAUAUAUGGAAGAACACCAGUGGCGAAAGCGGCUCUCUGGUCUGUAACUGACGCGGAGGUUCGAAAGCGUGGGUAGCAAACAGGAUUAGAUACCCUGGUAGUC